Molecule: long non-coding RNA, 741 nt
Organism: Anneissia japonica
Lineage: Eukaryota; Metazoa; Echinodermata; Crinoidea; Comatulida; Comatulidae
Exons: 6
Source: RefSeq, a predicted model, not a curated record
UGCGUCAGAUAUUUUGUUAAAUAUUUUUAUGUCGAUUUUAUUUCUUCAACCAGUAGUGAAAUAAUUGCCGACUAUCAUUAUAAGUCACCUGCAGGAUGGUUUGUUUGAGGAUGCGAUAUUUUAAACAGGGGGAGGGGGUGGGUCAGUUUGUGCGAUGUAAAACAGGUUUUUGAUAGGUUUCGACAUUAGUCCCGACCACAACGGUGUCGAGUACUUCCGCCAACAUAUGCACAACACAACUUACUACUACGGAGAUAGAUAGCUCUACUACUACGGAUACGCCUACGCCUACGCCUACGCCUACGCCUACUCCUACGACUAAAACGCCGCCAGAAGAGGUACCGGUUUCAGAAACUCUUAAUGAAAUCCAGAAAGUAGAUGAGAAACUUAGGAGUAAUGGGAAGUCUGCUACAGAAGAAACAGAUCGUUAUCAUGCAAGUUAUGUAACAUUUGAAGAUAAUUUUACUGGUAAAUAUGAUCAGGAAAUUACGCCUAAUGAUGCAGGCGAAAGUGUUGCUAUUACCAUCGGUCUGACAGAAACGGAAAAUGUGUCUUUCUUCACAUGUUUUACGUAUAAGGAAGCGAUAUCAUUUGAACAGCAAAAUUUUACUGAUUUUGGUGAUAAUGUUAAGAAAACACAAAAUAUUACGUACAGAUUUACAAGUGGACUACUAACGAUAAAUGCCUACGUUGGUGGGGAGAGCAUUCGUGCCGACGUUACUUAUAACUUUUCAUCUACGG